RNAcentral lists this ribosomal RNA (1320 nucleotides) under Triticum aestivum (bread wheat). RNAcentral's name for it is "partial small subunit ribosomal RNA". The record is from RNAcentral. Lineage: Eukaryota; Viridiplantae; Streptophyta; Magnoliopsida; Poales; Poaceae.
AUGCCGGCAGCCGCCGUGCCCGCGCCCGCGCCACCGGCGCCGAGCCUGGACGCGCGUACGGGCGGCCGCGUCCUGCGCCGAGCGGCGGCGCUCCUCCUCCACCCGGCCUCGCUCCCGCCGCUCCUCCUCGCGGCGCUCCUCCUCCUCCUCUUCCGGUCAGCCCUCUUUGCUGGCACGCUUCGCCUCUCCUCCUUCGCGGACCGCGAUCCCGCCCUCCGCUCUCUCCUUCUCCGCCUCUCGCCUCCCGCCCAGCCCUCCCCGCCGGCUCCGCAGCACCACCUCCCCCGCCGCCGGUCCCCCUUCACUUCCUCCUCGUCCUCCCUCUCCGAUGACGACUUCCUCGUCGGACCCUUCGACCCGGUCUCGUCCGCCCCCUCCAGCCGACGCAACGCCUCCUACCACAACAUCUUCUUCACCUCCUUCUCCACCCCCAAACCCUACCCCGUACCCCUCUCCCAGCUGCUCCCCUCAUCCGUUUCCCCCUUCCUCCUUGCCAUCCACAACGAGACCUCCUCGCCGAAGCCUGCCUCGCCCCGGGGCGGUGAGCUCAGGCUGCUCGACCUGACCAGGCGCGACGCUGCGGCGAUCAUCAACCUCCUCGCUCUGCUCUCGUCUGCUCAUGUGCUCGCGAUCCUUGGGUACAUCACUGUGCACUCCAUAGCUCUCGGCACGGUGUUCGCUUCUGUAGCGGGGCGCCACCUGCCUGAACGGCGGCGAGGGUUCUUCCUUUCCGGUGCGGCAAUGGGCGCUAGGAGGCUCACUGGGUUUGCAUUCCUGCGGUGGGCAACUCGGGAUGCGGUUGUGCAGAUGCUCUGCCUCUGGUUCUUUGCAGACGUGCAUGACCAGGCGCAGCUGUUCAGGCUCUUUGUGGUCGCCAAGCUCAUGCCGUUUUCGGCAUCUGCAAACCCAUGGCUUGCGGCAGCCAUUUCUGGCCCAGAGCUCGAUGGCUUCUUCAUUGCGUGGGCUCUUCUUGAUGCUGUUGUAUCGGUGUUGUUCACGGUGGUGCCAUGGGUGGUUGCAAUGGAUCGUGAUCCGCGUCCACCUGGCCGCAAUGCUGUGAAGGAAGGCUGCUAUCUUGUGUCAUUGAUGGCAACCGAUGCCACCUUGAUCAAGUGCUGGGAGACAGUGGUGUGUGGCAGCAUGGGGCGGCUCAUUAUGGUUACAUUUGGUGGCAAAGUUCUUGGCGGGUUCCUCCACUCAUUUGCAGAGGUGUACUUCAUGGUGGUGUGGCUGAUGUUCUACUUUGCAGCAAGGUGUAAGGAAUCACGAUUGGGUGGCCGUCAGUUUGGACUGGAGGAUGUGGCAGCUGCUCUCAAUUGA